This is a non-coding RNA of Cajanus cajan (pigeon pea), 1076 nucleotides long. NCBI's taxonomy places the organism in Eukaryota, Viridiplantae, Streptophyta, Magnoliopsida, Fabales, Fabaceae. The record is from RefSeq and is a predicted model, not a curated record.
ACCCAAUAUUGCGCUCAUUUUAUUUCUUUUAUUAUUUCCUAAUGUUUGUAUUUGGUUAGCCAUUGUAUUUAGGCCAUUAACAUAGGAAUAUUGAAGGAAUGUUAAAAUAGGUCAAGAAGCUUAAAUCUAGGUUUCAUUUGAUAGUCAUUUAAGAUGCAUUUAGAUCACAUGUUUCUUGUUAAGCAUGCUGAACAUGUGCACCUCCUAAUACACUUCAAAUGUCCCCUAAAUGAAACUUAGAUGCAUGGCAGCCCCAAAUUCACAAAAUAACACAUGGAGCCUUGAAUUUGAAUUCAAAAUUUCCAUUUGAAUUUGAAUUUUUGGCACCAACUGUGGCUAGUGAAGUUGGUGCCACCUAACUUGCUUCUAGGAUCUAUAAAUGCUUGUUCCUUCACUCUUUGUAAACACUUCGAGCAUAAUUGAGAAUUCUUCUGAAUACAUUUCAGAUUUCUCUCCCCAAAGUCACCUAGGUUCUUAUUUUAGCUUUAGGAAUCUUACAUUUCUAAAGCCAAAAACUGUGAGCCUUCUUUUGCACUCCUAGCUUGAGUCCUUCCAUCUUAAGAUUGGUUCAUCCGAACCUAGCUUCCUUCAUCUCCUUUCUUUCCAGAAUUUUGGACUCAAAGAUUAAGAUCAUUUGCGGAACCAAGCAAGGAAGAUUCAACAUUUCAUCUCACCUACUUGGCUUCAUCAUUUUUGGUAUCAAGAGCAAGGUUGAAGUCUUUGAGGUCAAGAAAAUUCAAAAAGAAAUCCAGAUUAGAGACGAAUUUAGAGACCAAUUCUGAUUGCUGGAAAAUCUAUCAUAAGAAAAUCUGUCUCUAAUUCUGUCACAAAUUUUGUCUCUAAAUUCUGUUUUAGGCUAGUUUACAUUUUCUUGCAAUUUUCUUUGUUUUAACACCAUUGUAAUAGCUUAGAGAGAGUAUUAAGAAGCUGGUCAAAUAUAUCUUAAUCUCUAUAGAUCACUCACGUGUAGAUCUAGUGGAAGUGGCUUGAAAAUUUUAUAUGAUUUCAAGUUUUCACUUAGGAAACUGACUAGCUUGUUAAUCUUUAUUCUUUGCUAUUGUUUAAUUUUUCUUUCA